Non-coding RNA from Anas platyrhynchos (mallard), 14971 nucleotides. Lineage: Eukaryota; Metazoa; Chordata; Aves; Anseriformes; Anatidae. The record is from RefSeq and is a predicted model, not a curated record.
CUCAUCCUUACUGACACCAUGACAUAGAGGGAGGGCAUCCAAGAGCUGACUGACGUACAUGCAGCAGGAAUAAUAUUUGGUAUUCUCACUUACGAACUCAAAUACCUCAAAGCAUGUGGGGGAUCCUCAAAUGAGAGGAAUAAAUAUUUUGCAUUGACUGCAGUCAAUGUUUACAGUGGAAAGUGAUUUCUUCAAAGGUUGAGACAGUGCCCAGUAGUGGGUUACGUCUGAAAGCGUGUUGGCCGUAGAGGAGCAGCACUUUUCCUACACCCAGGAGCCACGUGGGAUGGUCGGUUUCCCUCUGCCCUUCAGAGUCUACAAGGACUAGUUUGAACUACUCCCACCACCUAAGACAAUACUUUUUCUUUAUAAGGAAUAUUUGAGAAGGACUCAUGACUUUUUGAAUGGGGAAACGCUUCCGGCUGAACAGACUGAAUUCAUCUUCGGGCUGAGUUGUGCCCCAGAGCCUUCCCUUCUUAAAACAGGAAGAUGACGGGGUCAAGGCUCAGAGGUGACCCCAUGCAUCUCCUUCACUCUUCUUCUUUCCUGCUCUGUCUUCGCACACGAGCACCAUCCUGUUUCUUUGCCAGGUGACCCCAGCUCCCAGCCUCUGCAGUGUUUGCUGUCCCUUAAGAUAAGUGCCACUGGUGUCCUCUACUGCCUGCCCGAAAGUGAGCAGAGCUGCUCCUGGAGGAGUUCAGCCCCAGCAGGUGCCCACAAGCAGGGUGGUAGUGUGGUCGCCUCUUGGUCUGAUGGGAGGAGCUUGCCACUUGUGUGGCCCCUUGGAAAGGUCUCAGAAGAGUGAACAAACUUUCCGUGCGAGCAGGUGUAAGAUAUAAAGCUUUUUCUGUCACCUGUUGUUAGCACUGCGAGGUAAUUAAUGGCUUUGUGUUGCUCUCAGGGGUGUGGGUCCUACUGAGUGCAGGAUUCCCCCCCCUGCCUACAGCACAGAGCAGUCCUGUUCCCUGGGUGGGACGGUGAGCAGAGGUGGGCAGCUUCCAGUCGUCUCUGCUGGGACUCCUGCUCGUGUCUCAGGAGAAGCCUGCGGGCCCGACCAAAGCAGGGCACAUUACGAUGGGAUGGGAAACACAACCAGCUUCACAACAAACUCUACAAGUGGCCAGGACACCAUGUAGCUUUGUCAUCUCUCCCAGGAGCAAUGUUUUGAGGAGGAGGACAGCCACAGGUUGUUUCAGGAAUCUGCAUGCAGGAAAGCCCAAGGAGAUAUGUGCACCCUUCCUAGCCAUGCAGGUUGUCUUUCUCCAUCCCCGCCAACCCCGAUGCAAUGACAGGAGGAGCCAGCCCGGCCAUGCCCCUGUUUUGGGAAACCUUUGAUUCUGUGUGUCCAGACACGAGUGAUGGAGCAGGUUCACAGGAAUCUGCCAACACUGUGCAGCAAUGCCUUCUGCAAGGCCUUGCUCUCUGCUAAGCGUGGAAGAAACCCAUCAGAAAUAGGCAUCCGAUUCGGUCAGUUAAGUGCCUGAAAAAAACAGUUGGGAUAAACCCAGUCUACAUCCUCAAAAAUCACUAAUCGAGCCUUUCCCCAGCUCUCUAAUCUCCUGCAAUCAUGAGGUCUGGUUUAAAAUAGUCGUUCGCUUUUCCCCCUAAGCAGGAAUAUUGAGUAAAAUGUUAUUGGGAAUCUUCUGAUAAGUCAUGAGAGCUGAUGACAUUGCUUAGUGUUCAAGUGCCACCUAAAGCAACAUUUGCUCCUAAUGAUUUAUGUGCAUGCAAAUAUUCUGGCAAAUUCUCUGCUAUUGGAUCUCUGCAGGGAGAGACAAGCCAGAUACUGCACUCUCCUGCUCACCAGAAGCCAGAAGAGCAGGGAAGGCACAUACCAGAUUUACUGCAUAUACCUUCGUUGGCCAAACAAGGCAGGCAGCCAACAGCCCAUUCCAUGCAUCAGCCAUGGCUUCAUCUUGUUUUUGCAGUCAAAUGAGAAUGGCAAGGCACAUGGUAGGAGGUUAUAAUUUGGACUCUUUUGAUUCUUAUUACAAAAUUCAAAGUUUUUUUUUGUUUUGUUUUGUUUACAUGCUUAAAGAACAGAGGCCAAGUUUCUUCAUGCUCUUAAUUACUUGGGUGCAACUAGCAAGAAAGUUUGCUUUUCUCAUCUAGAAAGCAUUCAUCUGUAGCCAGUCACUUAUAAAAGACUUUUGGGAUAGUUUUUUCCAUUUCUCUGUUCUUUGAAUAUUAAGCAGCAAGUAGAAACCGAUCCCCUAGAGGAUAUAAUGCUUUCUGCUGCCUUGGCCUGUCGUGUACUUACCAAAAACAUUGAUUUCCUUUGGACCCCCAGAUAUUGCCGUUUUCCUGAUUGAUUGAAUGUGGCUGCAUAUUUCCAAAAUACACAAAGGUGAGACAACCACAAAUGUAUAAUUAAUGAAUUGUUCUGGCCCUAUUUACUACAGAAGUUACCUGAGCUCUGGCUGGAAAACAUAUCCUUUCUGGUCUGGGCCAAAUGCAUGCCAACAUGUAGUAUAUUUUCAUUAGGUUACAUGAUAUGAAUGUUUUUAAGAAUCACUUGUGUUCUCCCAGUCUGCCUGCCAGAAGUGUUGCCCAAAUCCAUUCCCUACUUAAUCGUGAAGGAAUGCUGUUCAAAAGAUUUGGGGUCAGGAGUGCUCAAUAAAUCAAUCCAGAUACACUCCUAAUGAGUGGUGAAUUAAACAGCAUUUGUUUUAAGAUCAGAGGUCCUCUUGGGAGAUUAUUUUUUAUUGCAAGCAGAAUUGCUCACUUGCAGGUAUCAAGAAGCUGGGAGUUAAGACCUGUUAAGAAGGUCCACAAAGGAAUCUGGAUCUUCUUUACUGAAAGCAUCUGAUUAUGUGCAGGCAACGGUGAUAAGUAGGUGAGACUCACGUCCUCCACUCGAACACCCUAGUUGCUGAAUUAAGAAAGAAAAAAAGUGCAGCUUCAGGUGGGAGGAAGCUAUUUAUACACCCAGUAUCUUACCUGUGCUGACCACAACACAGGACUUCAGAACAGGGAGCAGGGAGAGCACAGCUGAGGUGGAAAGGAGAUGUCCAAAGCCCAGGCUCACCAGCAGGUACAGGCACCCACUUUCUGGUAGCUCGGAGCAGGGUGCUGGGUGCUCGCAGAAGAGCCUGCCCUCAUCAGUGCUGGGCUCCUUUUCCUAGGGAAGGAUGGAAGAAGAAGAGGGGGGCUUUUGCCACAUUCAAGGACAACAUGCAAAAUCUCAAGCAAAAAUGUACAAAGGAGAAAGGAUUUUGCUUGCCUGCAAUAUCUUGAAAAUUUGUGUUAUUUUUUUUCAGAGCCUUGGAAAUUAAUGAAUUCCAGUUUUCUGACCACUCCCUAACUCCCCAUCAGCCACCCUUCUCUGAUCAGGGCAGAAGGCUCACUUUCUCAGUGCCUUGCUCUUGGAAGUAGCAGGUGAAUAUAAAAUACUUUCAUGGAGCCUAAGAUGCAUCUUGAGGCUACUUUGCACAGGACUGAGAGCCCCUGAGCAAGCAGGAGAGAAGCAGGUCCCCUGCCAAUAGCAAGAGAACCACACUUCAUGCUAGGAAAAAUUAAGAAACCCAUGCAUUCAGUAGGACCUGACCAUACAUCUCCCUUCUACAUCAUUAGGAAAAAUGUAGCUAAUUCCCUCAGCUGUUCUGAGAAAGUCAGUUAGGUCCUUUUCUGCUUGUACACAACAGCAUUUUUUGGCCACACAUUGCUCAUUACAGUUUCAUUUAAUUCUGGUUUAAUCAGAUAGGCUGGCAUUUCCUUUCCUGUGACAGUUCCAUGCUUGGGCAGAAAUAUCCCCCAGCACAGCCAUGUAUCACACAGUCACUGAGGGGAAGGGAGCUGCCAGGUGAAGGAAGUGGGUGCAGAUAUUUGAAAUAUCCUCAUAAGGAACAAGAGCUUUGAAGUUGCAGUCUCCCAGAAUAUUUAGCAAUCCUUGCUCUGAAACUGAAUUAUUAACAAAAAACGUUUUUGUUGUUGGUUGAUUAUUUGUUUUUAAUAAAGCAAUUUAAGGCUGAUGUGGGUCAAAACUUGGCAUUUUCUCUCUGUAGGAAAUCCUGACCUUUCCAGACAGUUUUUGUUCCAGAAUGGAACAAAGACUACAAAAGUUUUACCUCUCCUGUAGAAACUAAAUUCUGAACGUAAUUUGUUCUCAGAAGCUCAGAGCAUUGCUUUUCCCAUUUUCUGAAAGCAAAUGCAGCAGCCAUAUCGCACUAUGGGAGUGCUCUCUUCUCAGUGUUGUCCAGUUUGAAGUUCAGUGGUGCCAGAGGUGACUCUGCAGCAUCCUGUGACACCUGGCAUGUAGAAACCCCUCAGUCCUAUCCUUUCUGGAGCCACAAAAGCUGCCACAUGCCCAGCUGUGCAGUGGAGCCUGGGAGCCAUGCCUCUUACCCAGAGCUCUGCUGCCCACCAGGGUGCUCCCAGGAGAUACUGAUCCUGCAGGAUCGCCCAGAAAGCUUCAGUCUGGGGCUGACAAAUGUUUCUAGAAUCAAAAGUAUUUUCAUGAAACAUAUGUGGUUUGACAAAUUGCCACUAAUCAAUUACCAGUUCCUGACUAGUUAGGAAUCGUGUUGUUUUGGUGGGCAAGGAAACACAUUAUGGGCUUGGGAUGCUCAUGGUGUUUUUCAUACCAGUCACCAGCCUUAGAAAGAAUAUGUAUCAAAGAAACAAACCUGUGCAGGAAGUGAGAAUGAUCUUCAAAAGCUCUGAGGUGAUCGUAUGGAUAUAUUAGCCCGGGGAAUGUCACUGAUGGAAUUAUGAAUGUACAGCUUGUACAGGACAGGAGAAGGGCUGAAGAUCAAACAUAUGUCUGGAACAACACAUUAGCAUUAUGGUUAUUUGUGUUGGUUAGGCAUCUACAUCUCUUUCCUGUUCUAGACCUCACCUCCUUUUGAAAAUGGGAUUUAGACUCAUAAGCUAUCUGGGCACUUUUAAUCAUUUUAUUGCAAAUUAAAAACUCUCUUCCAGAAGUUACUUUGGUAUUUGCUCAUUCCCUGUUUUACAGGGAACAAUAUUCAUCCCCACAUAUGUCAGUUCACAAGGAGAGACCAUACAGAAAAAGAUGUGGCUUAUUAUACAGCAGUGAUGGAUGGUUUCUUUAUAGAAAACACUUGCACGUAAGAGAACAACUGUUGUGUAUUAAAUACAUCCCCUGUAUUGCGCUUAGAGUUCAUACCUGUUGCUGAAGGAAAAAUUCAAAGAGAGGAGGAAAGAACAAGCAAGCUCAUGAAAUGACAUGAGAUAUCCACAUAAAUACCAAGGAAUACACCAUGACUUUUGUUAUUACAAAGAGCACGUAUGGCAGUCAUGUUGACGUGGUGCUUGAGAAACUUGGCAAAUGGAUUGGUUUGUCAAUUCUUGCCUGGGACUUUUUGUUCCUGUACAGAAGAAGAGGGAAGAAAAUUCUGGGUAUUGAGGAGUUAGUUACUCAUAAAGCAUUAAUAGCUGGAGAGGUGCCAAAUCAUUAUUGUUUUUUCUGGAAAGGGUAUUAGGUAUUAUUCAACAAGAUAAGAUUUUCUUUCCAUGUGUCCAUACCAGCUCAAUAUUGGAAGAUGAAACACAUACCUAGGGGAUUACAGGCCCAGAAAUCACCUUUUCCAGGAAAAUGAUCUGAGUGAAUCACUUCAGACAAAAAUGUGUUGAAAUGUUAAACAAGUGCUCUCUUGAUUUAAUGUUGUUGUUAAUUAUAAAAAUAAGGCUCUGUGAAAAUGGAAACAAGUUAAGACUGAUAUUGUUAUAUAGAAUCAGUUUUUAAGGAAAACAAUGAAACUGGGCACAUUUUUUUGACCUCAAACUAAUCUGAGAAAGAGGUAGAAAAUGAAUCAGGGGAAAAUUGGUCCUGUAUUCUUUUCCAGUGAUGAAACAGCCAGAAUUACCAUAAGCUCAUGGUUUCUGCCACAGGUCUGCUAUCAAAGCCAUGGCUUUGUAGAUCUCCAGCUAGAAGAGUCAUUUUCAAACCUGGGGCCAGAGUUUCUCUGGGCAGGUCUUGAACUGUUAGGAGAGCACAGCUUGGCCAUGCCUUCAAAGAGAGACUCUUCCCAGAGUGGAGAUUCCCCAGAGGCCCUCUGCAGCCUAGCAGCCCUUAGUUUAUAUUGCAAGUGAGUAUACAAAACCACACAGGCCUGUGCAAUGUCCCUUGUUUGGUCUUUUUAAUUAUUAUUAGGGUCCUUCACGUGAUGCUUCUGUUUCCUGAAUUUCAUACAUUCAGGGAAGAUGCUCUGUCUCCUUCCCUUUUCCCAGAAGCUCCCUUCGUACAAUUAGUUCAUAGACAUACUCAUGUGCAUAUGGACAAAAUGGGAUCUUAAAAAGGCAAGAGCCCAGUGCUGGUGGCUACUGACAGGUGAGAAAGAAGAACAGCUGAGAUAGGAGAGCUCCAGACAGACCCCUACCAGCAGUAGAAGAGUGAAAGGAGCCAAUUGCACUAGCCAGGAUGCCUUUGCCAGUUACAGCCAAUUUUGUUGUUUUUGUUGUAAAAAAAUCUUUGAAUUUGAAAGUUGAGAGAAACUGAGUGUUUGUGUCCAAGGAAGAAAAUCCUGCUUUGGAUUCAAGGAGUGAGGAAAGAGGGGAGAGUUUCUGGGAAGGAAUAUCUGACCACUUGGAUAAGCCUCUGAGACACUGCUACACUUCUGCUCCUUAGUUAAAAUAACUGGAAUACUUCGGGGCUUUUUUGGACAGCAAUGUGGUGGUGGAGCAGAAGGGGUGGAGAAGAAGAAGACUGAUAGCAGCAAGUACUGGCAAGAUUCUGUUAAGCUGUAUCUAAUAAAAGUAGCAACAUAGAUAUCUCAAGCCUUUCUGCCAAGCCAUAAGGGUGUGAUUACUUUGCCUGGAACAUGCUGUAAUCCUCCCCGAAUCCACACAUAUUUCAGGUAGAGGAGAACAACUUUCUCCAUGCACCUUCUCCGUGUCUGGGCAGAGAUCCACCAGGUUUUCCAAACUGAUGCUUGGUCAGGUUUCCUGUCCUUGUUUCAGCUUUUCUUGUAAAGCUCUUUUACUUAAGUCCUGCUGAACCCAUGUUAGCAGAGAGGUUAGUCCUUCCUGCUGUUUGACAUGGGGCAUUGAGUUUACCACGUCUCUGGACAGCAGGUUUACAUUGGUCUCACCUAAUUUUGCCAUCAGGGGAUCAAACUCAGACCAACAGACUGCCAGGAAAUAUUUGGCAAAAGGAUUCAGGAAUAUUGAAGCGUAUACGGGCAGCUUUAACAUGCAGUCCUAUAGGGAAACAAGGAAAGUACCACAGUAUGAGUAUGUUUUGGUCUGCACAUACUUAUAGGGUAUGUACAGGCUUGUAUUUAGAGAGAGAGAGAUGGGGAGAGGGCAAGAGCAGACUCAUCUGGGGAAAACCAAACAAGGCAGGAUGAGGAGCGCUCAAGCCCCUUUACACAGGCUUGCGCUGGUCGGUGGCACAGCAACCACAUUCCAAGUGGCUUCAGCAGUGGGAUGGGCCUGUCGAUUUCCCAUUAAACCCCCAAAAUGGCACAGGUACAGCGCCCUGUGUGCUUGGUCUCAUCAUGAAACCACUGCCAACAGCAGAAACACCCUUCCCGAGGCCAAGAAGCAGGGCAGCGGUGUGGCAAGAAGCCUUCCCAAGCAGCUGCAAGGCCCCGCGGGGCAUGUCUCCGUGCUCAGGCAGCACCAGCCUCAGGCCCCACGUGGCCCCGAUUCCCAGUGCUGCACAGGCAGCAGCCACCAGCCCUGGAAGCCAAUUAGAAAGUCUGUAAAAUGCCGUAAAAGGCAGUUUUCUGCUGGCUGCGUGGCCUGGUACUGAUCACUAUGGGCUCCAAGCCCAGGCCUUUCUUCUUUCGCUUCAAUUACAGGGCCUUCAAAGCGUCUGGUGUUUUCAGUUGUGAUUGUCAUCACACUUCAAUGCAGUGUGUGCCAUGGCACGUGUGCGAGCGCAGCUGGGUUUCUCUACAAAACCAAAGAUAUUUGCUUUACAGGCCUGUACAUACAGUCCCUCACAACCUGCCAACAGCCAAAUGUGUUGGGCUACCAUUUCUAGCAGAGGAUCAAAGAGUACAUUUAAAUGCUUCUGAUUCAACAUACAAGUAACUACAGACAGUCACAUGCAACUGGGGUGGCCGGGGAGUUUGUGAGAGGAAAAGGAGGUAUUAAAAGAAGAUGUAUGAUGGGUGUGCAUUUGCAAAUUUGGCUGGCUGUGUGAGCCUGCUGGGUGGGACGCAUGCUUUUUGUGCAUGGGACUGGAGAUGGCCCCAGAAGGGUGCUGCCACUGCUUGGGCUAAAACCUCCUGCAGUGGUGGCCCCAUCCUGCUGUAUGUCCUGGGGACAAGCACCAGACCUGGCCAGGAUGUCCCUUGUGGGGUACAGGUGAGCCCCUAUCACUUAGCAUGGAAGCACCAGGAUCCGGGCAAAGGUUUUGGAGCUCCUGCUCUCUGAAGACCAUCCUUGGCACUCUGAGGUGUGCAGGCAGGGUGGGCAGCCCCCAGGCCUGCUCCUCCAUUUUGGUCCAUGAGAUGCAGAACUGACUUCCCUGCCAGCAGGGUCGGGGCCCAAACAGAGGGGAGGAUUUCUGGUCAUCCAGUGGGAACCACCUCUUUUUCUUGCUCCAUGGUUCCGCUCAAGACAAUGAGAAAGAAGCCAGGAAGACCCAAGGCAGGUAAACAAGCAGCCUGGUGUUGUGGCCACUUAGGCAAAAGGGGCAGGGAGCAUUUGUCUUCUCAUCCUACAGUCCUUCCUUUUAUAGCUUUGUGGCAGGAGAGGGAAAAUCUGCACCCUGAAAAAAAAGAAAAAAGAAAAAAAAAAAAGAAGGAAAAAGAAAAAAAAAAAAAAGGAAAAAGAAAAAAGAAAAAAAAAAAGAGAAAGAAAAGGAAAGAAAAAAAAAGAAAAAAAACCUGAAAAUGAUGAUUAGAGCAGAACAAAAAGCAUUAUGUAGCACAGCCUGGAAACAGCUCCUUCUCCUCUGCCUCAGUGAGAAUGUCACACAGGGAGGUAAUGAUGCUUAAAAUGACCCAUUUGUUGUGUUUUAUUAAUGUUAUCAUUUCAUUUCUGUAAAAUAGAGCAUGUGUAAUGGCUGUCAUCUUGACUGACUUGUCAAGCCUCAACAGCUCUGUAGGGCCAGAUCCUGCUCAGGGCUCCCUGCUGGCUCUUCUCAUGAAGGAUGAAACAGGAUGAGCUUGGGGAUGGGUCUCACUGCUCCUCCUGUCCCCAGGGCUGCCUCAGGCAACACUGGAGGAUGUGCUGAACCCACGGAGGCAAAGGACAGACCCUACUCCAGGCACGGUGGCGUGGUGGCAAUGUUGCCAGACUCUGCAAGACUCCAGGGCGCUUGUCUGCCAGAGCUGCUACCUGCUACACAGAGCAGAUCAGCUUUGGCUUUCUUGAUUUAAUACACUAUCCCGUUUAGCUGAGCACACAGUGCCUGCCUUAACUUCAAUUUUUCUCGGUUUUACUUGGUUUGUGCUAUGCUUGUGAUGUUCUUUAAAAAGCCUUUUUCUUUUUUUCAGUGAAUGUGUACAGUAGCAAUUUACCAGAUCAGAAGGGAUUUACUUUCUUCUUUCUUUAAUAUAUUUUAAAAACAAAAUGUAUCUCUUUUCUUUCCCAGGGUUAACAUAAGAGACCCGAUCUUGUAAUAACCCUGUUUCCUGGUAAUGAUGCAGAACAAUGGACAGUGGUAUGGAAUAAUUCUUUCCAUACAGGAGUUAGAGGCUGAUUUCACUGCUGGUAAAAAAUACGGGACUGUAGCAAUUAUCAUAGCUUUAACCACUUCUCCACGGUUUGUGGAUUUUUCUCUGAUCCAGGAUACUGCACGCGUAGCUGGGAAGUUGCAGCUAGCUGCAGUACCUGUCAGUUUGAAUUCCAGCAAACAAGUUGCUCCAGAAUCGUGGUGUUCUGGUAAAUGACUCUUUUAACAGAAAACCUGCAAUAUUCUGCUGACAAACACCUCUCAAAAACUUAAUUUUACCCUCUUUGCCCAGACAAUGGGUUUUAGCCAUAAGCUAGAAAGACGGUGAGAAGGUGGUCAGUCAUCCAAAUAGAUGUGAGUUCAGCCAGAGCCCUGCAGCACUCACACGGGCAGAGGUGAUCCUGCCCCACUAUGGGAGAGGGGGAGAUUAGCUUGCACCCAGGAUGGGAUAAGCCAGAUUUCUCCAGAGAGUUGGCUGCUGAACUCCGAUGAAGUCAGAGUCGAUUAAAAUAGAAAAAAAGCAUCUUCAGCAAUCUGGGCUUGAUGGGCUGGGCUCCUUCAGAAGCAUUUAGACAUUUGGGAUCAGGCAAACACAGCAUUUCAUGAAAACAGCACCAGGUGCUGCCCCGCUGCACACAUGGGCUCAAAGGGACAUUGGCAAAGGGGACACUGCCCUGGGCUGGACCCAGAGACUGUGCUUCUGAUUUUGUUUCCUCUCCUAUUGACCACAGGCAGCUGAUCAACAGGCACAUUCCCUUUCCUGUUUUGCUUUGUUGUGACUGGUAAAGUAACAAUAAAAUCAGCUGUGGUUAAAUCACAUUUUACCUUAUUGGCAGAGAGAGUGAAAGUUUGUCAUGCUUGAUUAACAAAUGUUGAUUGAUUAGAAGAAACGAAUUAGGUUUCUCUGCCCCACUGCACUGGCUCCUGAUGUACUAAAUAUUUGCAGGAGACAAGGGCCCUCCGUUUCACUGCCAUUUUUUUUUUCUGUUGGUGUUUUAAAAGGCAGGUCUGACACUGCCACGGGAGGAGGCUGGGGAUGAGGUGCGAGCUUCCUCAGCACCCAUCGCAGGGGUUGUGUGGGCAGGGAGGGUGGCAGGGAGGCUGGGUGCAUGCAAAGUGCUGGGGGAGUGAGUGUUUGCAAGGUGAGAGUGAGACCUGUGUGUGGUAGCAGGCAUGGGCUUGUGUGAGCACGUGUGUGUAUGAGAUGUGGGUUGGUGAGGUGUCUGUGUGUGCAAGGCUGAAAACGUGUGUGGGUGUAAGCAUGUGAGAUGUGAGUGUGCAAGGUGGAUGUGUGAGGGUGCGAGGUGUAUCAGCAUGAGUAUGCUAGCAGCAUGGGUGAUGUGUGUGUCUGAGCUCUGAGUGUGUGCAUGCUGAUGAAACAGAUGUCACUGAAGCUUCAUGAUAAGAUAUGGUCAUAGAGGCUAACCAAAUGACUUCUCAGACAGUCCCCUAAAAGUAAAUUAGCGAGUUUUAGCCUGGGAUAUUCUAAAACAAACACACAUUGGUUAUCGGUCCAUUUUGGUAUGCACCAGUCAUCACCAAUUGCUGGAAUAAAUAAUAACAAUAAAAACCUUUAAAUACAUGAGUCAUGGGAAGAGCUGGGAUAUAUCACUAACACAUAGUUGACAAUAUUUCCUGCAUCGGUUCACAAACCGCUGGGAUGUCCCUGGUGAACUAUGCACAGUCCAUCGUGCUCGCAAGGGGAAUAUGUGUGCCGUCAGUCAUUGGCAGCACAGCAGGGGAACCAACAGUGAAAUAAAAGCCUCGGUGCACACAGCGGAGGUUGUGGGAUGCUUGAAAACUCCUCAAACAGCUGAAAUGUUGCCGCCAAGCAGAUAAUCCAGAAAUUGAGUCAGGCCCUGGGAUGCAGAAGGCUGCCUCAUUUGUGUGAAAUCCUGUGCUAGCCCCUGGGAAGACCCCCUGCAUCCUAUGGAAAGGGCUUGUUUGGUAAGAGGAGAAUCUGUGGACUCUUGUCAGCAUUUGAGAUCUAUAAACAGAGAUUUGAGGGAGAAAAAUUCAAUCUAGAACAGAUUGCUGGAGAGGGAAAGGGGAAAAGUUGAAUUCUUUAGUAGAGCUACAAUAACUACUUGUAGGGAACAGCUUGUCUCUGCUAUUUGCAAGAGUAAGCUUGCUUUCCUACAGUGAUACACAGUCAAUGUACAGUAUGUCAGAAGUUACCUGAUAAACAGUGGGUAUGUCUUUGGAAAUUACGCAAUUUUACAUUUGUUUUUAGGUUUUACACACUGAGAGAGCUGGGGUUGUUCAGCCUGGAGAAGGGAAGGCUACCGGGAAACCUUAUAGUGGCCUUCCAGUGCCUAAAGAAAGCAUAUUAGAAAGAUGGGUAUUGACUCUUCAUCAGGGAGUGUAGGGAUAGGACAAGAAGUAAUAGUUUUAAACCAAAAGAGGGUAGAUUUAGAUUAGAUAUACAAAAUAAAUUCUUCACUCAGAGGGUGGUGAGGCUCUGGAACAGGCUGUCCAGAGAAGUUGUGGCUGCCCCAUUCCUGGAAGUGUUCAAGGCCAGAUUUGGAUGGGGUUUUGAGGAACCUGGUCUAGUGGAAAAUGUCCCAGCCCAUGGCUGUGGGAUUGGAACUAGCUGGUCUUUAAGGUCCCUUCCAACCCAAACCAUUCUGUGAUUCUGUGAUUCUUUUAGCAGAACCAAAAAUUGUGAUAAGGGAAGUUUGACUUAUUCUAUGGCAAACCACUCACUAGACCAAGAAAGUCAGCAUCUGUGCACCCUCAAGAGCUUUCGUCCUUCUGUCUGCAGAAUUAACCACAGUUGUACUUGUCAGACGAGUCACCUUUCAGGAUACACUCAGAUCCUGUGGUAUGAACAAAUCCCACACUGUGGGAGCUGACACCUCUGAGGAGACCAACUGGAAAGCAGAACCUUUCCCAUGAUACUCUUUCUGUUCAGGAAAGCAAGAUUUUAUCUCCUAUGUAACACAAAGGAAUGCCAGGGAAAAGCUCUGCCAUUUUUGUCUCCCAGCAGAUACAAUAAAAGAAAUGACUUAAUAAGUUUAAAAAAUAUUUACAGUUAUUCCAUGUGGUUUCUUCAGGUUACUGCACAUUAGUAUCAACACAGAUCACAGGUCUUGUUUUGUUGUUGGGAGUAUAUUGUGCAGCUCCUCUCCAAGGCUCUUGUCCUUCUUCAGUAAGGUAAGUACAUAGGUCUUUGCUGAUGGAGAGCUUAAACCACUUGAUUUUCCACCCUAAUAGAUGCCAAGCCUUUAAAACUCAGCAAACGUGGCCACAUCAGUACCAACUGCACCACAUGUGAAAGCCCACAAUUGUCUGACUCUGUUGCAAACAAAAUCUUAUUCAUGGGAAUGUUCAUGGGAAAGUUAACGGGAAAGUUCACUCGACUCCACCUUUUAAAUGAAGACAGACAGCAGAUAUGAAAAUGGCUUUUGUUUUCAAUUUCAUUCCAUAUGGUUGUGGGGUGGAUGCAGGAUCAAGCUAUUUGUAUCCAAAAGGGAACAUUCUUCCUCUAGAUAUGAAACAUCCAAGUAUUUGCAAAAGUUAAAUUUUAAGAGAAGUGAAUAAUUCUGCUUUUACUACCUUUUCAGCUGCCCUGGAAAUAUAGACCAUCCUGCACUAAUAAGUUCCAUUUCGGGAGUCUCUUUUGUUUUGAAAAGCAGAUGAAGAAGUUCAACCCAUAGCCUUUCCAGAUAAGAGAAGGAAGCAUGCCUUUAUGCAUACAAAUAUAAGAAUCUGUCAAUAAUUUGCAUAUGGAUACUCUGCAUGCAUAAUUAUGUGCCUGUGUCAUCACUUGUGCAUUUUGAUGUUGGUUAUUCAACACCUAGUUAACCACCCAAAUGCAUGUAUCUUUGCACUGUGCUAUUAUUUUUAAGCUCAGCCUAAUCGGAAUCCUAUAAAUAUGAUUGUUAAAAAUUGCAAUAAAAUAAAUUCUGUACUCUAAAGUACAAUGCAGUUGACUCUGGGAUGAAACACUUGGCUCUGUGGAGAUAAUUUUAAAAACCCUGUCUGAAUGAAACUGGAUGAAGAUAAAGAUAUAUCAGUAAAUUGAAUGCAACAUAUGAACAUGAAUCUUUGACAAGAAAAUUUAUGCAAUUUUAUGAAGUUUUGCUGUGUAAUGAAAAUGAAAAGAUAUUCUCAGUUUAGCAUGAAGGGGGAAGAGCCCUUUACUUCAGAGUCACCCCCUGCCCAGCCUCCAGGUUCUCCCACCACUUCACCUCCUCACCCUCCCGUUUCUCUCUUUCCACACUGCUUCUCCAGCCAGGGAGCUUUCCAAACUCUGCUGUAUCCCUUGGAAGCUGGUCUUCAAUCUCCUUGUGACAGGGGCAGGAAGGUGUGGUGAAGGGUGGUGGGAAGAACUUUAACAUGACCAUGAUGCCGAGGGUCCUGGGUAUCCUUGGGGGCUGCAGGAGGAGAAUCUGUGGCCCCAGGGCCAUGAGAUGCUGUGAAGCUGCUCUCUGCUACUCGGGACCUGUGGAGAAGCUGUGCUGGGGUGCUUGGGGUGAGGCACUGGAAGGGGAGGUUUGGGAAUUUCUGGGUUCUCCCAUGCCACGGAGCCUCACUCCCUGCAUGCCGAGGCAAGAAAGGAGUGAGGAACAUGUAAAUGAUGAUGGUCACCGUGGUGAGAAGAGACAUAAUACUGUGCCAUGAGCAACCAGACCUGGAGUUUGCAUUGGAUAUUGACUUUCAUGGCAGAAACGUUGCGUGUUAGGAGCUGGCUGCAACACGACAUUGCUCUGAUGACGCCAGAAGCGAGUGGAUGAUGUAGAAGGGAAACUGAGGCUGCACCAGGGAUCAGCACCAGCUCCAGGAGACCUUUCUGUUCUCACCUUUGGUCAGUCAGGAGUAACUAAAUCAUGCAAAAAUGUGGAAGAGGAGUAUCUGUUCAUCUCUCACAUGGCCAGAGCUCAGCCUGGCCAGACUCCUGGGUGGCUGCAAGUGCAGGGCCAGCAAGGCGCCAGCCCUACAGCAGAGGCAGGUCCCCACGAGGAGACAUCUGUGUCUGCACCGGCUCGGAGGCCAGAGCACCACCAGCUCUGUUCCCCUGGUGAAGCGUGGUGCUCCGAGGAGCUGUGUGUGGCUUUCCCUGGAGAAGGCCCGCUGGCUGGUCCCAGUGACUCGCUGGAGCAGAUAAUGGUGUCUGGAAAGGCAGCUGUUAUCUCUCGUGCCGUCUGGACGCCGGGGCUCCCUUCCUGUCUGGCCGGAGCACAGCCCUGCUCCUCCAGGCCGCGCUCGACACUGUCUGCUCAUAGCCACUGAGAGCCAGAUGCUGAUCCCCGUCCCACAGACCCCUCACACAAAACUGCAGCCACCUUUCCUUUUUUUUUUUUUUCUCUUCUUCUUUUAUUUUUUUCCCCAAAUAAAUAUUUUUGAAAGCAAAGAGGAAUAAAUUCACUCUUGUAA